GUGGGGAAUAUUGGACAAUGGCCGGAAGGCUGAUCCAGCCAUGCCGCGUGAAGGAUAAGGUCCUAUGGAUUGUAAACUUCUUUUGAGUGGGAGCAAUAAGGAUGUCGUGACAUCCGAUGAGAGUACCAUUCGAAUAAGCAUCGGCUAACUCCGUGCCAGCAGCCGCGGUAAUACGGAGGAUGCGAGCGUUAUCCGGAUUUAUUGGGUUUAAAGGGUGCGUAGGCGGUUUUUCAAGUCAGCGGUGAAACGCAAGGGCUCAACCCUUGACCUGCCGUUGAAACUGUUGGACUAGAAUGCGGAUGCUGUGGGAGGAAUGUGUGGUGUAGCGGUGAAAUGCAUAGAUAUCACACAGAACACCGAUUGCGAAGGCAUCUCACAAAUCCGUGAUUGACGCUGAGGCACGAAAGUGUGGGGAUCAAACAGG
Molecule: ribosomal RNA, 424 nt
Filed under: uncultured rumen bacterium
Lineage: Bacteria
Description: bacterial SSU rRNA
Rfam family: Bacterial small subunit ribosomal RNA
Source: RNAcentral